GAUGAACGCUGGCGGCGUGCCUAAUACAUGCAAGUCGAACGAACAGACGAGGAUCUUGCUCCUCUGACGUUAGCGGCGGACGGGUGAGUAACACGUGGAUAACCUACCUAUAAUACUGGGAUAACUUCGGGAAAGCGGAGCUAAUACCGUAUAAUAUAUUGAACCUCAUGGGUCAAUAGUGAAGGGCGUUUUUGCUGUCGCUUAUAGAUGGAUCCUCGCCGCAUUAGCUAGGUGGCAAGGUAACGGCGUACCAAGUCACCGAUGCGUAGCCGACCUGAGAGGGUGAUCGGCCAACCUGGAACUGGGACACGGUCCAGACGCCUACAGGAGGAAGCAGUAGGGAAUUUUGCGAGAUGGGCGAAAGCCUGCAGGACCAACGCAGCGUGAGUGAUGAAGGUCUUCGGAUCGUAAAACUCUGUUCUUCGGGAAGAACAAAUGUGUAAGUAACUAUGCACGUCUUGACGGUACCUAAUCAGAAAGCCACGGCUAACUACGUG
This 497-nucleotide ribosomal RNA is filed under the name uncultured bacterium. RNAcentral's name for it is "partial 16S ribosomal RNA". It matches the Rfam family "Bacterial small subunit ribosomal RNA", at positions 28 to 507 of the family's 1533-position model. The record is from RNAcentral.